This is a long non-coding RNA of Lotus japonicus, 10174 nucleotides long. RefSeq lists it as uncharacterized. The record is from RefSeq and is a predicted model, not a curated record. Lineage: Eukaryota; Viridiplantae; Streptophyta; Magnoliopsida; Fabales; Fabaceae. The transcript has 4 exons.
AGGGUUCUUUCUGGCCCAAGAACGCCUGAUCUAGCUCGUUAUACACCAACGCAUCGACCUGGUCGUUAUGUUCCUGAGUGUCCACUGCCUCGCGGGUCCACAUGGAGAUCGGCCUCAGCGGAGGAACUUGAGCGAUUGGAGUCACCCGUUCAGGGGAGCGACUCUCUCCGCCGGACGAGUGACGCCUUCUCUUACUCUGGCGCCCUGAGCGGUCCUCAUCCCUUCCGGGGGAACCCUCCUGCUGACAGUUGGGGCUCGCCCGACCAUCCUGGGGCUCCAACCUCUUGUCGUUUGUUUCAUCCUCUUGGGCCGGAGCACUUCGACCGCCCUCAAUGGAGUCGGUCCCGAUUACCUGCUGCUCUUGAUCGUCGAGUCCUUCAUCCUCAUUUCGAGGAACCCCGUCCUCCUGUUCCCCCUAACUGUCGGUCUCAGUUUCAUCAACUGGCACCUGCAGCGCGGCGAUCAAAGCGGCAUUAAGCUCCAUAUUAGCACCUGCACAAGAGUAACCAGAAGAACGGUUAAUCAAACAAAGAUCACAAGACAGACACACCUUUACAAAAAAUAACACCUUACCUCUAGCGCGCAAUAGGCACGCGUUCUUCCGAACGCUAAAAGUACAAAUGAAACGACUCGUUUUAGUGUUAUUGUGGGUUUAAGUUUUAUUGUUAAUUAUUAAUAUCAUUAUUAGAUAUAAGAAAAUUAGUUUAAAAAAAAAAAGAAAAAGAAUCAGAGAUGUGGAAAGGGAUUCACGUAACCCCCACCCCUUGAUUUAAAAAGUAAAAUAAAACUAACUUCCCACUAAAUCACAUAACCCACCCAUCCAGUACCAUUCUUUUCUUCUACCCUUCGUGAAUCAACGUCGCCUCUGUUUCUUUCGCCUACUUUGAGGCUGAAAGUUUUCUCCACAAAUGAAACACUGAACCCGUCCAUAGGAACUCAACCUUGAACGAAAUUUCCAUUCCACCGGUGGGAAGACUUCGGACAUUAAUUUGGGGAUUUAGGAUUUAUGCUCUGAUGAAGGAGAAGAGUACCCACUCUACAAAAAUUGCUCUUUGAUGCUAUUGAGAUUCACUGACUAGUGGCUCAUUCGCUUAUCGUGGAGUUGUUGAGAGCAGUCGUAUUGGUUCUUCGUAACUGUGAGUGGUUUUCAACUGCUAUGACAUAUUUUUAACAGUCUUAUAACUGAUUUAAUUACUUUAUCAUAUUGCCUAUUUAUCUAAAUUGGGGAAACAUGUUUUUUAUAUGUUUGACUAUCAUUCUUGAACUCUGAAAGCUGAUUUUAUGAAGCUGAUUUUGAGUAUGUUUUAUGAGUUGAUAUGAGAAGAGAAUGACAUUGGUUUAAUUCUGAAAUUGUGUGAAAUUGAGAUUGUGAACUUGAAAAGCUUUUAUGAGCAUUGAAAAGUUGAUGUUGAGAAUGUUAUUUUGAAAACCUUUGAUGAGUAUUGGAAAGCUGAUUUUGAGACUGUUGAUGAGACUUGAUAUGAUUUGAGAAAAUGGUUUUGGGGAUCCUUGAUAGAACCUCGUAGCCGUUAGCGGAGGUAACGACCUAGGUGCACCUAGCUAGUUUGAUUCCGGGAGGAGAGGGCUAUCCGUUAGAUGGAGCCGCCAGUGCACGGAAAGGGCUAUCAACGAGAUGUAGCUUCCCCCGAUGAGAUUGAUGAGAUAUGACAUGAUUCCGGGUGGAGAGGGCUAUCCGUUAGAUGGAGCCGCCUCUUGGGUAAGAUAAUCCUUAAGAGGAAAGGGCUAUCAACGAGAUGUAGCUUCCCCCGAUGACACGAUGCGACUUGAGAAAGGAAAGGGCUAUCCGCUAGAUGGAGCCACCCCUAUCGGAGAGGCCAUCCCUUAGGAGGAGAGGGCUAUCAGCGAGAUGGAGCCGCCUCAUGGUUCUACAUGUGUGACCCUAUUAAUUAUAUUUCUGGUUUUAUGUUUUUCAUAUCUGGACAUGAUUUUAACUGUAUUUAUUUGAAAUGGUUAUUUAUGAACUUUAUGAUUUUUGUCAAGUUCAUUGUUGAAAUGAUUUAAACUGGUAUUAUUGAUGAUAUAAAUUGUUUAUACUGAGUUGAGAGCGAAAAAAAUCGUGACUAGUUUGUUUCCCCUUCCUGUUCAUGGUGGUUGUUGACUGCUCACUAAGUCUUUGUGACUUACCCCAUUCCUUAUUUCCCUCCACAGAUUUUCAGGCAACUGAGUAGCAGACUGUUGUCAGAUUCAGACCAUUUGACUUAUUUCCUUUAGCAGGUUGUCAUAUUGGUGUCUUUUAUUUAAUCCUGGUUAUCUGCAGCUAUAGGGAGUCCUAGGUGGAUUUAGAUUUGGGAUUGUGAUUUAUUGUUAUAUUUUAAGAGUUGGCACUUGAGUGCUCGAGUUGAUUUUAUAUUUCACUUAAAAUACUGGUUAUGGAAGAACUUAUUGGCAGAUGUUGUAAAUUUGUAACUAUUGGAAUUACAAAAGAGACUCUAGUGUUUUUAUAUAUGUGUACAAAGAUAUUUCGAAUAAAUUGUUUGGAAAAUGAUUCUAUGAGGAAGAGGCUUGCAAGGCUAGGGUGGUAGUCUGUGCGCCGGUCACAGCUUAGGAUUUUGGGUCGUGACAAAGUUGGUAUCAGAGCUUUGGCUGUAGGUCCUAUUAGCUGCAGACAUGAGGUGGUGAUAGAAUCUCUCUAGUAAAUUGUGAACCGCGGCACAACUUACUUCAAAGAUGCUAUUAACGCCUCAUGAGAGUCUUAAUGUUGUUUCCAAGUGUGAUUUGAGUUCAUUCCUCAUUCACUGAUGUUUGAGUCAUGUCUUAUAUUUAAUGAGUAUUCUUUUGUUCAGUGAGGAUGCCACCUAGUUAGGAUUCUUAGUACAUGAUGAGUCUAUUAGCCAUCAUCUAAGCCAUUCUUAAAGUGGUUGUGGUUGACAUGGUAGAGUGGAUUUCUAGUACUUGUUGGUCACUGAUGUAGCUAAUGUUAUGGUGCCUAAAUCGAGGUGAGGAAACGCAUUAGCAAAAGAGCUUACAAUGGGUUUGUUUGGAUUAUAACAUUAGGUGAAACCAUGUAUUGGAGUUUUUACUGGGCAACAACAACAUAACCAACUUGAGACAGUUUAUGAGCGUCGACCAAGGAUUAAAUAGAGGGGAGAAUAUAAAGCAGGUGUCACUAUAGAGAUUAAGGUAACACUAAGUGGUUUAACUUUUCUGGUACUAGUGCAAGCGAGAAUCCACAAAGGUUUAUUGAUGUUUUUGAGAGUCUAUGGAGAGCACUUGGAUGCUUGUGCAUAAGGGUAGUAGAUUUAACAUUGUUGAGUUGGAGUGUGUAUCGUAUGAUUGGCGUGAUGACUUUAGUUGUACGAGAGAGGUGUGAUCACCUAUAAUAACAUAGGUGACUUUUCUCAGAAAUUGAUGAAUCGUAUUCUUCUAGAGAUUGUCAUAGAUGGUUUGAAUCACGUGCUUGAGUUGUUGGCGUAAACUGAGUAGAAUGAUACCGGAGAGUAGUUAUAGUAGAUAAUCUUAAAGCUUCGUGCAAAGACAUAGACUAGAUUUUGGAGGGGGCUUUAUGAUCAGUUUUUCCUCAAAUACAUUUUUGCACGAGAUCUACACCUUGUUUUACUUAUCGAAAGAUUCAUCAUCUAGCUUUCUUUGGAGAAAGUAGGGUGUGAAAUUAGUUCAUUCAGAUAAGUCAUAUUCGGAUGGAUUUACAUAUGGUUGUGGUGUGACUUCCUCUAGUCAUGAAUAAGCAUUAGUAGGAGCGACCUUAGUAUCUUCUCUGACUCUUUACAACACUUGUGAGGCAUUUGGUUUUAGAAAUUGGUUGUGAUGCAAAGGUUGUUUUGGACAUUCAUGAUUUUUGGGGAGAGACUCCAGAAAAGUUUUAUAACCAGGUUAUUAAUGCCUAAUUGAAAAUUGCUUUUGAAGCUUCAAUUUGAGAAAGAUAGUGAAUUUAUUAAAAUGGGAGGUUGGAUGUGUGGCGAAAGAUCAUUGUUACAAUUUUUAUUGGAUCAGUUUGGUAUAAAGUUGCUUUGUCUCUUAUAGAAAACUUAAUUACAUUGGAUUAGUUUCAACAUGAUACUGAAAUUGACUCUUGGGUUAAGACUUUUUGUCAUCCUGUUCUGGGGAAAUAUUGAGGAAGACAUGUGUUGUCAUAUAUACACAAAGAACCAAUAUUGGUAUUAUUGUUUUUAAGUUUCUAUAUUACAUAUUAUUAUUCUUAUCAUUAUUUCAUUCAAAUUCUUUGAAGGAGUCGUUGAUAGUUGAUUAUGGGAACCGUUAACUUGAGGUAUUUAUGGGGAUUGAGAGUGGUUGGUAGAAAUCAUAACUUUAGAAAUUGCUGAUCUUGAUGUGAUAUUUUGGUAUCAUGAUAUUUUGGACUGACAUAGCAAAUUAAUGAGAUUUGAAUUAUCUAGAGAGUCAUCUUUCUUAUUCAGUGAGUGAAGUUAGGGACCAUGAAAUCUAAUUUUAGCAUCGAAGUUAGAAGGUUACUAAGGAAGGGUUGUCAUGGAUACUUGACUUUGUCUAUAAGGACACUUAAGCAGCUGAAAUAAAAAUAGACGAGUUUCUUGUAGAGUGUGAAAUUCUUAAUGUAUUUUUGGAGAAGUUCCUGAUGUACCGCCCAAUAGGGGGAUAGAGUUUUCCAUAUACUUAGUUUCUGACACUAGUUUUGUUUGUGAGGAAGAAGAGAAUAAAUAUACAGUUAUGUGUGUACUACAGAAAAGUUGGAUAAUGUGACAAUAAAUAACAAUACCAUUUACCUCACCUGCAUGAGUUGUUGAUGGCUGCAAGGAGCACAAUUUUUAUUUUUAUUUUUAAAAAACAAAAGGACCUAUGAUUUCGGUAUCAUUAACCAGAGAUUAAGAAAGAAAGAAAAAGAAGAUGACUUUUAGAACAUGAUAAGAGUUAUUACUUAUUAUUCAUGUCUUUGGACUUAGUGAUGCCAUUGUUGUUUUUAUGGAUUUAAUGAGCCCCAUUCAUUCUUAGAUUUUCUAGGAUUGUGCUCAUUGAUUAUUGUUGAAUAUUCCCAAGGGUGAGGAAUGACACUAGAAACUUGGUGAUAAUAGAGUUGGGUUUGGGUUGCUUGUUCCAACUCAUUGUUGGUCAACAUGAAAAUUCAUUCUACUUUGGUUGAUGAUGUUGAAUAUGAUCAAGGUCAAGAUUCGUAGGUGAUGAAAGUGGUAGAGGAUUUCUAAGGUGAAAAGGUUCCACGUUCAAAGGUAGACUCUUGAUGACAUUUUAUGACUUUGAUGUUGGCUGUGUUGUGUGAGCCUAAUACUACUAGUAUGAGGAGGAAAAUAAUAGAGGAUGCUUAUCAUUAUUUUUUUAAAUCAUACAUUUGGGUUUUAAUCAAAGGCAUUAGGAUAUGAAGAAAUUUUAUUUAUGGGAAAGAAUGAAGAAAGACAUAGAAAAUUGAUUUUGAAUGUUUUGCAUGUUAGCAAGUGAAGGUUGAGCACUAAAGCGAGUGAUGUUGCUUCAGUCUAUUAAGAUACCAUAGGGAAAGUGAGAAGGUGUUGUUACGAACUUGGUGAGAGGUUUGCUUAUGAAUUUAAUGAGUUGUGAUUUUGUAUCAGUGAUUAUGGAUUAACUGGUUGAGCAUGAACACUUUUGCCUAUAAAAGUACUUGCACUACAACAUUGUGUAUCAAGAUUUACCUUGGUUGAGAUUGUUUGUUUGCAUGGUGUAAGCUUGUUUAUAAUUUCAGAUCAAGGAGCUUAAUUUAAUGCAUUGUUUUAGAAGACUUUCAAAGUUGUUGUGGGGUCACAUUUGAAUUUGGGUACCACUUUCUAUCCUUAAAUUGAUGGUUGAUUUAAGAGGAUUAUUCAGAUCUCGGAAGAUAUGUUUUGUGCUUGUGUUUUUAGACUUUAAAAGGAGAUGAGAGCAGAAUUUGUCUUUAAUGAAGUUCUCUUAUAAUAGCCGCUACCAGUCUAGCAUUAAGAUUGUACAAUUUGAGGCCAGGUAUGCUAGGAGAUGCAGAUCACCAAUAGCUUGGUUUGAUGUUAGAGGAGCAAAGCUUGUAGGCUCAUAACUUAUCCAAGAUACAAUUUAGGAAAAGGUUAAGAUGGUAUGAAACUAAUUGGUUACAAAUAAGAGUAUGAAAAAGUGUUAUGCUGCUAGGAGGAGAUGCCCUUUAGAGUUCGUAGUUGCAGAUCAUAUGUUCUUACGCGUUUCCCCCAAUGAAAUGAGUGUUAUGAUUGGAUAAGAAAGGGAAGUUAAGUUCAAGAUUCAUUAGAUUGUUUGAGAUCUUGAAGAGAGAUGACUUUGUAGCGUAUCAAUUGAUGUUUUUCCCAUACCAAUUUGAAGUCCACCUGGUUUCAUAUUUCUAUGCUUUGAAGACACCUAUAUGUUCAUUCUCAUCUUAUCCCUCAUGAGGAUGCACAACUAAAUGGGCAUUUAUAUCAUAUGGAGAAUUUAGCAGUCGUAGUUGAUAGAAGGGUGAAACAAUAACGUUCUAAGAAUAUUGGUCCAGUGAAAAUCUUUGAUAAGAACAAUCUGCAGAAAAGAUGAUUCAGAAGUCCGAGACCAAAAAGCGCGAGAAGUAUCCCCACUUGUGUGAAGCUCAAGGUGAUUUUGAGGAAUUUCCUGAGGAUCAACACCUUGCUUGUGAAGAAGAGUUUGAAGUUUUUGCUGGAGAACCUUCAGAUGAACAUUGCGGAUUGGUUCGCAAUGGUCCACCCUUCGGGGGGGAUUAGGUACGAGAUGAUCGACCAGGACGACCCCGGGUCGUGGGUGGUUGACCCCGCGAGCCACCGAGCGACGUAUUCGGGGCGUAUCAUGGAGGACCACGUGGAUAGUGGAGGACUCUUGAGGUCAGGAGUGUUGAGGCGAUGCUCUAUCAGCUUCAACUUGCCACCGGGCGUUCACUGUGGACCAGGUCUUGGAGGAGCACCGCCGCCACCGUCAUCUUCAGAGGAGGAGGAUCCCUCAGAGGAGAUUCCAGUGGGAGUGCCUUCGGCAGGGUCUAGUGCACCCUCCGUUGCGAUCAUUGAUGAUCAGGGUUCGGGCCCUAAGCCCGUGAGUCCAGCUUCGGAGAGCGUUGCAGGUGCGAGGGGAGGACGGAUAGGGUUGAUAGACUUGGUCGUUCUGGAUUCUGAUUCAGACGACGAUCAUGCUGACACAUAGUUUUGGGUGUUGGUAUGAGCUCCUCGAGUUGGGAUUAGUGUAGGAGUAGAGUUUUUAGCUCUGACAGUCUUGCUUCAUUUGUUACUUAGGGGACAGGGUAGAUCCGCCUAUAGAUUUUUGUGUGGUUUCCUUAUGGGAAUCACAGAGAGUUGGUUGGACUAGGAAGUCUUAUUUUCAGGCCAUUGGGUCAGCUGAUUCUCAGUUUUGAGGGAUAGUGUUGCGGGCACUUCACCCUUUUCAUUUGGUUUGUAUAUAUUGCCUACGGGCGUUGCACUUUUCUUUCCGUCACUGGAGGUUACUCGUGACGAGGUUGCUACUACAGCGGGGGCUGUUUAUAUAUUGCAUAUUAGUUCUGAUUUUUGUUAUUGUUGGGUUUUAUUUAAUUCCGUCGUGUCUUAGUUAUUAUUAUAAAAAAAAAAUAUUCACGUUUUUCCGCAUUAAGUUUAUUUUGGUUACUAAAGUGACGCCACCGAAAUCGGGGUGUUACAGUUCCGGGGAACCCUGACCCGAGACGGACAGAGUACCCGGGACGACCAUGUUCCCCCCAGGACGUCCCUGACGUGGGACAGUUUAGUAUGAGGGCCCCCGGUUAGAGAGCCUGAGAAGAUCCUGCUUCUGGGCCCUACCACCUAGGGUAAGGACAAGACCUAGGGCCCACCGAAUAGGGGUUGACCUAGGCCAACCAUCUUAGGGAGUAGGUAGGCAGGUACAGAUCCAUAGGGGCCCCAGACCGUUGAAUCACUGUUCCUUGGCAGGUACCACAGGUAAUCCAACGGCAGGUUGUGCCCUGCGUACGAGCCAUGCGUGACGUUGCAUGGCUCCAACCCUAAUCUCACCUCCCCUAUAUAAGGGGAGCCCCUAUUCUAUUGAAAGGUAACGUAUUCUCACCAUAUUCACCAUUCUCACUUCUUUCCUUACUGACUUUAGCAUCGGAGUACCUUGCAGGAGCCCCCUCCGGGACGUAACCAGCUCAUGAGCCCUACAGCACGUUCAGGUCCCCCUCUCCUACCCCUUGUCAACGGCUAACUUGAUCAUUCCCUAAUCAAAAGCACUCCCCAGAGAAAGAGAGUUGUGUCGCAAAGAAGAAUCCACGUCGGCAAAUGAGACCUCAGUGCCAUAGGUAAGAAAAAGGGGCCUGAAAUUGGAACAAGAGGCUUGAAAACCACCACCCUCUUUAAAAACUUGCUCCCUGAUGUCCUCUUUCAACAAAUCAUCGUCGAGGUCGUUACUAUCCAAGGGAGCUUUGACAGGUCAAGCGAACGACGAUCGCUCAUAUACAAAAGAAAAUACUAGGUUGGAUCAAGAAUCGGAUGUCGAGAGUAGAAACCCAUUCGAAGUAACAAGUCUAGGGGAAGACGAAUCUGUUUGUGUAGAAAACACUAACGGAGAUACAAAGACAAACGAAUGGGCUACAGACAAAACUAUAGCUAGGAGAAUAGGGCAUCCCCGAUAAUUGAAUAAUAGAGGAAGGAAGAAGAAGGAAUUGGUUGCGGUGAUCUUGAUGAUAUUGGGACGCCAAAGGUGAUAGAGGCUUUACCAAAAAGUGUCAACCAAUUAAUUUUGUCAGAGGCAGAAGACUCAAAAGAUGUCUUGAAAAGAGUGAGAAGAGCAUUGGUGGUGGGGAAAAACCUUGGCCUAAUCUUUUAUUGUCUUGGAGAUAUUCCUUUUCAAGGGUUGGUGGAGCAGAUUGAGUCACACAGAGCCGGUUGUGUUUCUCGUGCUUUGUUGUGCUUGUUGCGUGUCUUUGAUUUUUGGUUAUGGGUAGCGCUUGUUUUAGAGGCUAGUUCUUUAGAUUUUUUGGUUGCCCGGGGAAUUAAGUUUGUAUUUUAGGGUUUUUAGCUUGGGCGGUCGAUUUGCUUGAUGUUGAGUUGGCUGGUGUAUUUCUUGUUUGUUUUUGUUUUUUUAAAGUAUUUUCUCAGGAUUUUUAAUUUAGAGUUUAAUUUUGAUGCACCGACGGUGUAAAGUUUUUUUACACCGUCAACCAAUCAGAUUUCAAGGAUGUGAGAAAAUCUCUCUUUUCAUUUAAUUUCAUUAAUUGACGUGGCACAUCCUUAAAAUCUGAUUGGUUGACGGUGUAAAAAAACUUUACACCGUCGGUGCAUCAAACUUUUUCUCUUUAAUUUAUAAUAUCUUUUCCUUUAAAAAAAUUAACUUAUAUAUAUGACUUAUUUGAUAAGAAACAUUUAACACAAUUUAGAACCUGGAACACAUAAAUUCUGGGUCUUCAAACCCGUAACACAUACAUUCUGGGUUUUAAAACCCAUAAGCAAAAGUACAUAUUAUUAUAUUACUAGUGUUUUUUACCCGCGCGUUGCACGGGAAAUAUGUCUAUUGUAUUUGAUACAUUAAUUAAUACUUUGAUUAUUAAAAAUAUAUUAAACAACGAAUGAAAUAGAAAAGUCAGAAUUGAUGAGUAAAGUGGACAUAAAGACUUCUCUUCUAAGCCCGAUUGAGACCAAGAGGAACUCAUUUCACAUUCUUUGUAAAUAUGAAGACGAUAACACAAAUCAUAGAUAUAAAGAAUUAUCAGUACAUAUUAAUCUUGAAAAAAAAUUAAUGUGAUAGUAGCACAAAUCAGGAUUGUGUAAGAUAUAUCAUAAAGUAUAACAUUAUUGUGUUUAUUCCAACUAAGUAGGGAUGACAAUGGGUAGGUACUAUAGUACCAUCUCCAUACCCGCGUUUUUAAAAAUUACAUGUACUUGUCUCCAUACUCACGUGGGUAGCAACUCGAAGCUCUCCAUCUUUAGACAAUUCAAUGUCAUUAUAGGAAGCUAUUCAUCUUUGCCAAAAUCUAAAUCUAUGGAUGACAAUGAGUCUCAAAAUCAUAGGGUACCCGCAAAAAAUAUCCACUAUGGGUAGGGUAAAAAACCGCUAAAUGGGUAUGAGGUUGAGUAUAGAUAAUUACCCGCAAAAAAUAGAGGGUAUGGGUGCGGGUAUGGGUACUAUAGUACCCAACCGGCCCAUAUCCGCACACACAUGUUAUUAUUAUUAUUAUUAUUAUUAUUAUUAUUAUUAUUAUUAUUAUUAUUAUUAUUAUUAUUAUUUGGGAAUAUAUUAACAAAUUAACUUAAGCUAUAGCUUUCAAACUCACUCUUUU